GCAGGUUGAAGCGCGGGUAAGACCGCGUGGAGGACCGAACCCACCUGGGUUGAAAACCGGGGGGAUGACCUGGGGCUAGGGGUGAAAGGCCAAUCAAAUUCCGUGAUAGCUGGUUCUCUCCGAAAUGCAUUUAGGUGCAGCGUCGGUUGAUUGCAUCGCGGGGGUAGAGCUACUGGAUGCUUGCGGGCCCGUAUGGGGUACCAACAGCAGCCAAACUCCGAAUACCGUUGAUGUGUAUUCCGGCAGUGAGUCGGCGGGGGAUAAGCUCCGUCGUCGAGAGGGAGACAGCCCAGAUCGUCGUCUAAGGUCCCGAAGCGUGUGCUAAGUGGGAAAGGAUGUGGAGUCGCAUAGACAGCCAGGAGGUUGGCUCAGAAGCAGCCAUCCUUGAAAGAGUGCGUAACAGCUCACUGGUCUAGUGGUUCCGCGCCGACAAUGUAGCGGGGCUCAAGCACACCACCGAAGACGCGGCAGCAAUCUUCAUGGUUGCUGGGUAGGAGAGCGUCCUGCGAGGGGCGAAGCGGCCGGGUAACCGUGCCGUGGACUUCGUGGGAGUGAGAAUGCAGACAUGAGUAGCGAGAGACGGGUGAGGAUCCCGUCCGCUGGAUGACCAAGGGUUCCGGGGCCACGUUCGUCGUCCCCGGGUGAGUCGGGUCCUAAGGCGAGGCCGACAGGCGUAGUCGAAUGGAUGAACGGGUGGAUAUUCCCGUACCGACCAUGGACCGGCAAAACCGAGACGGUGAGUACUAACCUCCGCCUCGUGGUGGUUCCUUCCUUCGGGUUGGUUCCGCCGCGUGGUGUUGGGAGCGUAGCCGUAGUAGGUCAGCGCAGGGGUGACACGGAAUGGGAGCCGGCCGCGGAGGUGGUUUUCCGUGGUCAAGCACGCAGCCAGUCAUGUAGGCAAAUCCGCAUGGCGCGCAUGGCGAGGUGUGAUGAUGGGAGCCUUUUGGGCUCGAUAUCCGGUUGUCCAGGCCGUCGAGAAAAGCCUCGGCGUGAGGGCCAUGGCCGCCCGUACCCCAAACCGACACUGGUGGUCAGGUAGAGAAUACCAAGGCGAUCGAGCGAAUCCUGGUCAAGGAACUCGGCAAAUCACUCCCGUGCCUUCGGUAUAAGGGAGACCCGCUGGGGUGAACCGGCUAGCCCGGGGAGCUUUGGUGGGUGGCACAGACCAGGGGGUAGCGACUGUUUACCAAAAACACAGGUGCAUGCGAAGGCGAAAGCCGCUGUAUAUGCACUGACGCCUGCCCGGUGCCGGAAGGUUAAGAGGAUCCGUCAAUCCCUUCGGGGACGAAGCGGUGAAUUCAAGCCCCGGUAAACGGCGGUGGUAACUAUAACCAUCCUAAGGUAGCGAAAUUCCUUGUCGGGUAAGUUCCGACCUGCACGAAUGGCGUA
RNAcentral lists this ribosomal RNA (1389 nucleotides) under human gut metagenome. Its description in RNAcentral is "bacterial LSU rRNA". It matches the Rfam family "Bacterial large subunit ribosomal RNA", at positions 740 to 2003 of the family's 2925-position model. The record is from RNAcentral.